UACGUAGGGUGCAAGUGUUGUCCGGAAUUAUUGGGCGUAAAGAGCUUGUAGGCGGUUUGUCGCGUCUGCUGUGAAAUUUCGGGGCUCAACCCCGAACUUGCAGUGGGUACGGGCAGACUAGAGUGUGGUAGGGGAGACUGGAAUUCCUGGUGUAGCGGUGAAAUGCGCAGAUAUCAGGAGGAACACCGGUGGCGAAGGCGGGUCUCUGGGCAGUAACUGACGCUGAGGAGCGAAAGCGUGGGGAGCGAACAGG
Molecule: ribosomal RNA, 253 nt
Filed under: uncultured bacterium
Lineage: Bacteria
Description: partial 16S ribosomal RNA
Rfam family: Bacterial small subunit ribosomal RNA
Source: RNAcentral